This 303-nucleotide long non-coding RNA is filed under the name Androctonus crassicauda. The record is from RNAcentral. Lineage: Eukaryota; Metazoa; Arthropoda; Arachnida; Scorpiones; Buthidae.
UGGGAAGAAGCUGGGUGUAUGGGGUCUGUAACGAGAGGUGUGCGGCUGACAAUGGUGGAGUCUCUUGAGAUAGUGGGCGGAUCGCGGGUGGAGGGUUUGGUGAGCGAUGGACUGGCUUGGGAGCCCUCAAUGGCCUGGAAGUGUGGCAUGGGCAGUGGGAGGGGGGAAGGGAGAGAGGUGGCAGAGUUGCCGGCAGGAGAUGGCCGGGUGGAGGUGAGCUCGGGAGCGUUGGAGGGGGAAGAGUGGAGGGGUUGCGAGCAGGGACGGAGGAGUGGUGCUUUGAAGCAUGGAGCGUGGGAGGAC